Apis florea (little honeybee) is the source of this 1995-nucleotide long non-coding RNA. NCBI's taxonomy places the organism in Eukaryota, Metazoa, Arthropoda, Insecta, Hymenoptera, Apidae. The record is from RefSeq and is a predicted model, not a curated record.
GAAAGAGUUUUAAGAGAAAGAAAAAGUAAAAGAAAAUCGAGGGAGAAGGCUGAAAACGAGCUCUCGGUGAGAGAUGUGGGAUGAGAGGUUAUUGCGCAAGCUAAGUGAUACAGAUCGGCGGGCAUCUCUCGUUGGACCUGAAGGUCGGCUAAUCGGGCCGACAUGAAAGUGAACCGAGAUUGUUAUGUAUAAGAAGUAUAGACAGGCGAAGGUAUGACAGCCAUGGCUGUUAGAAAAAGAGAGGUUACCGUGAAGUGCCAUAUUUCGUUCGGUAAAGGACAAUCGUAAAAAAAAAAGAUAGAGAAUAGCGUCUAAUGGAGGUGACCGCGGCAGUCUUUCUGAUAUUGAAGAUUGCGAUUCAACUACGAUUUAAGUUGCGUGUGUUCCAUCUUUAUAAUUAUAUCGGUUAUUUCGUGUUCGAUAUCGCAACAGUAAACACGGGGUCGUGCGACAUCGUCAUCAACAUCCACGAUAGAUGGGAUGGCUUAUAGAGAGCAACGCACGCUCUGCAACCGCGCGCGAUUAUUGCGCAACCUGGUGCGUUGCGCAUCAACCGAUGGUACGUAAUUUCACGUAGGUGUGCGAGCGUAUACAUAUAUAAGAGGCCGCUCCAAAUCGUUUCUAGUGUUACUGAUCAGCACGUAACUUUCCGCUUAACGAUUCCUUGGGUCACAGUACUCACGCUCUAAGGCAGACGCCUCAACGUGAUCACUUCCCAAUAACCAUCUUUUACCUCUCUCGUCUAAGUUGCUCCGAUUUUGCCUUGGAACGGACCAUCGCGAACAGUUUAGUUCCUUAUUCAGACUUUUACCGAGUCGAUUCGAAAUGAUGUGAACAGAAAUCUCUUUAAUCUUUACCAGAGAAAGAUUUUUGAUUUCUCCACGAACAACAUCGUGAUUAAUCCUCCAUGGUUUGUUGUGCUCUCCAGAUGGAUUUCAUUAUUUUUUUGAUUGAUCUUUUUACGAACAUAGAUCAAUGAUAUUUUUAAUCGUUUUUAUAUAAGUAACUUUUGAAGUUUAUAAUUAGAAAGCUUUCCAUAGACGAUCUUCAUUACUGCAGUAUAGAAACGUUAAUUGAUGUUGCGUUAUUGGUGAGAAACAUGUAUUAGUUAGAAUAUGAUUGCCGUGAGAAUGUGUUCAUCUCUUUGCUUGCCGUGUAAAGCGUGAUAGCGAAAAAAUUCACAAAAAAAACAAUUGUUCAUUUAUUUAAAUUUACAGUAUUCCAAUUGAGAGAUCAAUAUCUAUUUAAAGAUCAAUAUUUCUAAAUUGUAUCCUUCCGAAUACAAUCGCUUUGACAUCGAAUCUAGUUAUAAUACACGUGUAUUGCCCAAAGGGUGAGUGAAAUGCUUUGCGUAAUCGGUCAUACUUUCUUUCUAUGAUGCUUAUAAUAAGUUUGUGAAAGAAAGUUACUGAACUGAUGAGGUAAUCUAUCUCACUCCCCCAACGAGUUAUCUCAGUGUGCUGCUUGCAGUUAUGUAAACUCUUUAAUUUCUAAAAUCGAUUUAUGUGCCUUUCGCAGACUCGCAUUGAUGAUUCGACAAACCGACUUGUACCGAAGCACAAGUAAAAUCAGUUCUAUGGAAAACAAUAAAUUACAUCGGUCUUUCCCAUGCAUUUCUCAUCUCAUUGGUAAACGUUCAGCCUUUGCUCCACUAGCUUCACAAUCUUGAAGGGUAAACGGAAUUAUGUUUCUCAGCUAACAUUGGAAGAGUUAAUCAAUCUCACGGUAAUAAAUUCAAUCCGUGCUAUAUGGAUAUUCUGGAAUCGGAUCAGAUAAAGAAGAUGUCAAGAAUCGAGGAGACAUUGGACAGAAUAUAAAAAUCAGCAUGAUUUGAUGAUCGAUAGGAUCAGUGAGUUGUAAGUCGAUACGAAUUAACUGGUGUAGGGGUGCGGCUCGCGCAAAAAAACGGGGCAAUCGUGAGUCUCGAUAAUAGGAUACUACGAUCGUUCGAGACAAUGUAUAUCUUAGCUUGAGAAGAAUAAACUGAAAAGAAUA